Molecule: ribosomal RNA, 374 nt
Filed under: uncultured bacterium
Lineage: Bacteria
Description: bacterial SSU rRNA
Rfam family: Bacterial small subunit ribosomal RNA
Source: RNAcentral
GUAGGGUCCGAGCGUUGUCCGGAAUUAUUGGGCGUAAAGGGCUCGUAGGCGGUUUGUCACGUCGGGAGUGAAAACUCGGAGCUUAACUCCGAGCCUGCUUCCGAUACGGGCAGACUAGAGGUAUGCAGGGGAGAACGGAAUUCCUGGUGUAGCGGUGAAAUGCGCAGAUAUCAGGAGGAACACCGGUGGCGAAGGCGGUUCUCUGGGCAUUACCUGACGCUGAGGAGCGAAAGUGUGGGGAGCGAACAGGAUUAGAUACCCUGGUAGUCCACACCGUAAACGUUGGGCGCUAGGUGUGGGGCUCAUUCCACGAGUUCCGUGCCGCAGCUAACGCAUUAAGCGCCCCGCCUGGGGAGUACGGCCGCAAGGCUAAA